GACGUAGGGCGCGAGCGUUGUCCGGAUUUAUUGGGCGUAAAGAGCUCGUAGGCGGCUUGUUGCGUCGACCGUGAAAACCCGGGGCUCAACUUCGGGCUUGCGGUCGAUACGGGCGGGCUAGAGUUCGGUAGGGGAGACUGGAAUUCCUGGUGUAGCGGUGAAAUGCGUAGAUAUCAAGUGGAACACCAGUGGCGAAGGCGAGUCCCUGGACAACUCCUGACACUGAGGCACGAAAGCUAGGGGAGCAAACAGG
Molecule: ribosomal RNA, 253 nt
Filed under: uncultured bacterium
Lineage: Bacteria
Description: partial 16S ribosomal RNA
Rfam family: Bacterial small subunit ribosomal RNA
Source: RNAcentral